UCGGGAUAACACCUGGAAACAGAUGCUAAUACCGGAUAACAACAGAUGAUGCCUAUCAACUGUUUAAAAGAUGGUUCUGCUAUCACUCUUGGAUGGACCUGCGGUGCAUUAGCUAGUUGGUAGGGUAACGGCCUACCAAGGCGAUGAUGCAUAGCCGAGUUGAGAGACUGAUCGGCCACAUUGGGACUGAGACACGGCCCAAACUCCUACGGGAGGCAGCAGCG
RNAcentral lists this ribosomal RNA (224 nucleotides) under uncultured Lactobacillus sp. Its description in RNAcentral is "partial 16S ribosomal RNA". It matches the Rfam family "Bacterial small subunit ribosomal RNA", at positions 138 to 356 of the family's 1533-position model. The record is from RNAcentral. Lineage: Bacteria; Bacillati; Bacillota; Bacilli; Lactobacillales; Lactobacillaceae.